Molecule: ribosomal RNA, 464 nt
Filed under: Pichia kudriavzevii
Lineage: Eukaryota; Fungi; Ascomycota; Pichiomycetes; Pichiales; Pichiaceae
Description: eukaryotic LSU rRNA
Rfam family: Eukaryotic large subunit ribosomal RNA
Source: RNAcentral
AGCUCAGAUUUGAAAUCGUGCUUUGCGGCACGAGUUGUAGAUUGCAGGUUGGAGUCUGUGUGGAAGGCGGUGUCCAAGUCCCUUGGAACAGGGCGCCCAGGAGGGUGAGAGCCCCGUGGGAUGCCGGCGGAAGCAGUGAGGCCCUUCUGACGAGUCGAGUUGUUUGGGAAUGCAGCUCCAAGCGGGUGGUAAAUUCCAUCUAAGGCUAAAUACUGGCGAGAGACCGAUAGCGAACAAGUACUGUGAAGGAAAGAUGAAAAGCACUUUGAAAAGAGAGUGAAACAGCACGUGAAAUUGUUGAAAGGGAAGGGUAUUGCGCCCGACAUGGGGAUUGCGCACCGCUGCCUCUCGUGGGCGGCGCUCUGGGCUUUCCCUGGGCCAGCAUCGGUUCUUGCUGCAGGAGAAGGGGUUCUGGAACGUGGCUCUUCGGAGUGUUAUAGCCAGGGCCAGAUGCUGCGUGCGGG